RNAcentral lists this long non-coding RNA (710 nucleotides) under Canis lupus dingo (dingo). RNAcentral's name for it is "lncRNA (ENSCAFG00020001853.1)". The record is from RNAcentral. Lineage: Eukaryota; Metazoa; Chordata; Mammalia; Carnivora; Canidae.
CGUGGCCUCGAAGAGGGGCGGGGCUCACGGACGGGGCUCAGGACGGGGGCGGGGCCUCAGAGAGGGGCGGGGCCUCGCGGGUCGGGGGCGGGGCCUCGCGGGCCGGGGGCGGGGCACCCUCCGUCCGGGGCGCGAGCCCAGCGGGUGCGCCCGCGCAUGCGCAGGCGGCGCGGCCGUCGCGGUCUCCGGUGCCCGCGGCGUCCGUGGCCCGGCGCCCCCGUCCCCGCCACCUGUGCCCGCGCGCCGAGGUCCGCGAGGGGGCGCCGCCGAGGUGGGGGCGGGGCGGCCGGCCGGGAGCUCCGGGGCCCGGCGCGGGCGGCGGCGGCGGCGUCAUGGCGGCCAUCCCGUCCGGCGGCUCGCUCGUGGCCACGCACGACUACUACCGGCGCCGCCUGGGCUCCGCGUCCGGUAACAGCGCGUGCGGCGGCGCCGACUGCGCGGGGGAGGCCGCCCCGCAGCGCCCCGGCGAGGGCAGGCCCCCCACGGCCGCCGCGGGCCCCUGGUGGGCCGGCUUCUUCUCCGGGAGGUCCGCGCUCGCGUCCACGGCCACCGUGCUGCAGUCGCCGGCGCGCACAACACCAAAAAGGAAGUUGAGAGAAUCCCACUCUUUACUGUCCAAGCCGCACGCGAGCCUUCCCGACACCCUGGAACUGUGUGCCUUGCACCAAGUGGAAAAUAAACUCCAAGCAGCCAGUGGCCCUGGUGGUGUG